This 204-nucleotide long non-coding RNA is filed under the name Trifolium pratense (red clover). Its description in RNAcentral is "long non-coding RNA (TPRA_LNC009373)". The record is from RNAcentral. Lineage: Eukaryota; Viridiplantae; Streptophyta; Magnoliopsida; Fabales; Fabaceae.
UUGGACAAAAUAUUUUUUGGUAUCAUUUGAAAUUCCUUAAAUAUAUGGGAGGAUUUAGACAAAAAACAUUUAAGAUUUAAAUAUUUUUUUGGUCCCUAUAUUUUGCUAUUUUUAACAAUUGUCCCUACAUUUCAAUUUUUUUUUUUUAAAAAAUCGUAUAGUUUAUGUCGGUUACCAAAUUUAGUCCCUAUGUUUGUUUCAUAG